AAAAUCUAUGUUAUUGCCAGGUUUCUAAUGCUGUUUCUUUUCAGAGCAGCAUUAUAAUAAAUUAAAUAUUUCUUUUUUACUGUGAUUUCCCCUCCCCCUGCCCCUGCGUCUUAUAUAGCUGCCUUCCAGAUUUUGCUCUGUAACUGUUUCUUAUACCUAGGUAUAUAUUCUUAAAACAUGAUCUUUCUUCAUUUCCCUUUAAGGAUUCUCUUUACUGCCAUUUCAAGCAGAAAAAUAUUAUUCUAGCUCUCAGUGACUUUGUGCUAGCAAGCCAUCUGUCCCCAGCGUGCAAGUAUCAGGCAGCUAAGAGUAAUUUUUUUCAGGAUCAGGAUGACACACCUAACUGAGGGACAGUUGCCUAAUCACAGGUAUCAGGCAGCUGAGAGGAGAGUAAUUUUUCUCAGGUUCACACACCUAACUGAGGGACAGUUGCCUAAUGACAGGCAGCUGGAAGAAGCGGGGUCAGGGAGAAUGAAAGGGCAGGACUGGAAAGGCAUGGGUUUGUCACCUCUCUGAAGAAGAGGAUGCAAGACAAGACAACACUGGAAGCUGUCUACCCUCACCUUGUUUGUUUGCUUGCAACAGGAGUCAGACACCAGAGACUCUAGCCACAUGCUUGGAUAAGGCUGGUCACUGCCCCAGGCCUGGAGAAGCAAAUGACAGGCAUGCCAUGGGACAGGUAGAGGUGAGCUCCAGAGUCUGACUUCUUUUGUUCAUUUAUACAAGCCUUCCUUGGACCUAAGCUCUCCUUUCUGUUGUCCAGAACCUGGACUCCGAGGAACUCCAGUGAAUGUAACUGGAUCCCCAAAUUGCCAAGUGAUACCCAAGGGUUCAGUGAUUGGGUUAGGGGAGGCAGGGGGAAGUGACACUAUACCACUAAUAGAAACUGUCCUGAGCCAAGAAGCUGAGCUGGAGUCACUGAAUUUAUUUCAAGCUACCCUGGACCUGCUGUUGCUACAGGAGGAGGUGCCAAUGAGGUGCGUAAUAGCUGUGUUCAUAAUCUGGACCUCAGAAAGAUGGAAAGAAUGUAUGCUGCUGCUGUUGUAAAAGAAAACUGAAGCAGUCAGUUAUCCAGCCCCAGAUUCUAGAAUGCUGAAUUCUCAAAUGCUUGGGGUCUCUGUGCAGUUAGUGCAUACAAUGGAGUUAUGUAGGAAGUUAACACUACAGUAGGCCUAUUAAAUCAGUGGAAAUUUAGUAAGUCAGCUCCCUCAUAAAUUAUAUUGAAACAGAUGGGAUUACUCUUGCUAUAACUUACUUUUGCAUAGUAAGUCACAACUAGAGAAGACUCUCUUCAAUCAGUGGAACUUACAAAUCCCCACUGAUUCAAUGGCUUAGUCCAAGUUAUAACACUAAGCAACAGGAUUUCA
This 1367-nucleotide long non-coding RNA is filed under the name Pogona vitticeps (central bearded dragon). RNAcentral's name for it is "lncRNA (ENSPVIG00000015532.1)". Lineage: Eukaryota; Metazoa; Chordata; Lepidosauria; Squamata; Agamidae. The record is from RNAcentral.